This 76-nucleotide transfer RNA is filed under the name Eubacteriales bacterium. Its description in RNAcentral is "tRNA-Thr". It matches the Rfam family "tRNA". From Rfam's summary of the family: Transfer RNA (tRNA) molecules are approximately 80 nucleotides in length. Their secondary structure includes four short double-helical elements and three loops (D, anti-codon, and T loops). The record is from RNAcentral. Lineage: Bacteria; Bacillati; Bacillota; Clostridia; Eubacteriales.
GCCACUUUAGCUCAGUAGGUAGAGCGCAUCCAUGGUAAGGAUGAGGUCAUCAGUUCGAUUCUGAUAAGUGGCUCCA